AACGAACGCUGGCGGCAUGCCUAACACAUGCAAGUCGAACGGGAUCCGGACUUCGGUCCGGUGAGAGUGGCGGACGGGUGAGUAACACGUGGGAACCUGCCUUUUGGUUCGGGAUAACCGCGGGAAACUGCGGCUAAUACCGGAUGCUCCCGAGAGGGAAAAGAUUUAUCGCCAGAAGAGGGGCUCGCGUCCGAUUAGGUAGUUGGUGGGGUAAUGGCCUACCAAGCCGACGAUCGGUAGCUGGUCUGAGAGGAUGAUCAGCCACACUGGGACUGAGAUACGGCCCAGACUCCUACGGGAGGCAGCAGUGGGGAAUAUUGGACAAUGGGGGCAACCCUGAUCCAGCAAUGCCGCGUGAGUGAUGAAGGCCUUAGGGUUGUAAAGCUCUUUUGCCAGGGAAAAUGAUGACUGUACCUGGGGAAUAAGCCCCGGCUAACUUCGUGCCAGCAGCCGCGGUAAU
RNAcentral lists this ribosomal RNA (460 nucleotides) under uncultured bacterium. Its description in RNAcentral is "bacterial SSU rRNA". It matches the Rfam family "Bacterial small subunit ribosomal RNA", at positions 29 to 524 of the family's 1533-position model. The record is from RNAcentral.